This 13824-nucleotide long non-coding RNA is filed under the name Triticum aestivum (bread wheat). RNAcentral's name for it is "long non-coding RNA (TAES_LNC022553)". The record is from RNAcentral. Lineage: Eukaryota; Viridiplantae; Streptophyta; Magnoliopsida; Poales; Poaceae.
GGCUCCAUGGCCUCCUACCCCCCUCCACCACCGUAGGCACCAUGGCCUCCUACCCCCCUUCACCACCGUAGGCGCACACAGACAGCAGAUCCGUGCUGGAGAAGAGCAGCUCCAGUCACGGUUGGGUGCAGCCGCGACGAAGAUGAAGGAGCUCCGCCACUCGUCUUUGCCUCCUCGCCGUGUCCUUGUUGCUCCUCCUCCUCUCUCCCUCCGUUCCUAGCAGCGCAACAUCCAGGGACAAGGGGAAGGAGCAGCUCGACCCGGCUCCAUCUAUCUUUCCUAAAUGCACGAGGACUGGAGGAGCAGGUGGCAAGGGAAGCCAUCAUGGCCUCCAUAUCUCUUUCCGUCGUGCACGAGGACUGGUCGAGAAGGUGGCAAGGGAAGCCGCCAUGGCUAGCCGCGGUGCUGCACAGGGAUGCCUACCUCCGGGUUUCCGUCUUGUCUCCAAUCCCCUUCCGUUUCAGUGUGUGUUCUUUUUUCCUCUUGGCCCGAUCUGCUCACAUGUUUGGGGUUUCAUGUUGUAGGGAUCAAGUCUGGUGCGGGCGGUGUGGUAUAAUGCAUAGGUGUGUAAUCUUGGCUAUGACCUGUGCUGGUGAUUUGGCUGUCAACUUCUAAAUCUACUAAUCAUUCAAAAAUGUUGAACUUGUUGUCCUGCUGUGUGGACAUGUAUUGAUUAUGCUUUUAAGCACUGCGCUUUGUUGAUGCAGUGCCAUUUAUCUGGUACAGGAGAAUGUCAAUGGUAAAGCAUUUGGUUCUGAUGGAUCAUAUUAUUGGUUCUCUGUUCAACUAAAGAUGGCUUCAGAUAAGACUACGGUUUGAAUAUUCAUGUAUUAUUUUUCUGCAUGUUGUAGUUUCUUGUUCUUCUAUAAACUGGAAGGCCAAUAUAUAUUUCUCAAUGUAUCAUUUUGGGACUGUUUGACUGCUGAACAAUAUUGCCAUGCUGAUCAUUCUUCAUGUCUUUGCAAUUUUUGGUCUUUGUUUUGAUUUCGUUGUGUGGCUGUGCUUCGAUCCAGGUGAGUUGAGUUACGGCUUGGUUGGAGAUGUUGAUGUUGUUCGAGACGUGUGUUGGAUUCACCGUUUUCAAGGUUCUGAAUAAGGGCAAGUUUGACUAGGUCGAAGUGAGUGCUCUUUGCCACCUCAGCUCUUCGUUUGGUUUGGGUCACUCGUGUUUUUUUCUUUCGACGGCAAAAUAACUUCUCUUUUCAAAUCACUUAGUGUGUGAUAUAUAUAUCACAUUAUAACAGGGUAAGUCUGAAAAAGCCCUUUAUUUGAAUGAGCAAGAAUCCGUGGUGUGCUCCUGAGCUAUGUGUCCCUUUUCCAAAUGUUAGAAAGAUUAUCUUAACUUAGUUAUCACCUAGAAGUUGGCUUUGGCUACUAGGCCCCUUUGAUGUUUGCAUGACUUCCAAACCACAAGGAACACUCCAGAACGAAACUCACUUAAGCAGGCUGAUAGAUGAUACCUGUUCUCGAGCCUAUUUUCUCAAAAUAAUAAGAGGCUGAAUGCUUUAGACACUUGCCAACCAUCUUCUCACCUCGGCAUUUCGUUACACUUGAUUAUUGAUUCAUAAAGGAGUUGUUCCACAUUCACCAAUUCCCCAAACUGUAUGUACACAUUGCUUGCAAAGGAAACAAAUUUAAACCCUCUUCAAAAAAAAUUGGAUUGUUGUAAGGUUAAAAAAAUGCAUGUGUUAUCCUGUAAGCACUUGAAUUGAAUGGCAAAAUGAAAGGUAAAUCAGUAGUGGAUAAUCUUACCUUGUUAGCCUAUACAACACCACAGGUAGUAUGCAAUUGCCAACCCAUAUAUCCCCGGACAGGGCAUGCAGGUAGCUCUUGACCUUGCCAGAGAGUGUAAGUAGUUCAUUUGGUUCAUUUGUUUUGCGUUUUGACAUGCAUCAUUCGUUGCAUUUAUCUAUUCUUGAAAAACUGAUGAUAAAACGAAAUGAAUUUUCAAUGUUUGGAUUGAUGAUCAGUACUUGCUAUAUAAUGCAGUAUAUCAUUGUCUGCUUUGACAAAAUAUAUCAUGGUCAAAGAAUACAAAUAUUUCGCGAGUAGAAAAAGCAUACAGAUAUUAAUUAUCAGUAAAAAGAUGAAGUAUUCAGAUAUAAAAAUGCUUUCACCUCACUUGUCAGGCUAUUAUGAACUAUAUUUUUGGUGUAAUUUCCAUAUCAGAAUAAAACUGGCUCAUCCGAUGCUUGACUGUAUCUUAGCAUGCUUAUCGAGUACAUUCCUUAUGUCAUUUUUACAGAUAAAUUCAUUUGUGUCAAGUAUCACCUUUUGCCAUAUCAAUAUGAAAAGUUGUCAUAUAUUGGCCUGUCAAAUUUAUCAGGUGCCAAGUUCACUCCCAUAUUCUUAAUUUUGUUUCUUCUAAUUUUGGUAUUGGUGUGUGUAUUGUUAGUGAAAACAUGCUCUAAGGCAAGCAUGCCCUCUGUUACAGCUUGCUAGCCAUUUUUGUUUGUGAAUACGCAAGGGUGCCUUGCCUUCUCUGCUCUAUCAAGUGGGUGAGCUCAAUUUUUUAAGGCCAGUCAGGUGACUAAGCCAUAAAAAUAACAAGGAGAAGAGUCCCUUAUCAGUUGAUUCGAUCUUAUCUAGGUUCUAUUUUCUUUUAGGCCAUGAGUUUUGAUGUCUUGGUAAGAGCUACAAAUACAUUCAAAGAGUAAAUCUGUUUUCUUCUACUGAAUUUCUGUACAUUGUAUGAAAAGGGUGCACCUAUAACGCCCAGUAGAAAUUUCAGCUGAGGGAUUUGUGCAGACUUACAAAGCUAUCAUGAUAGAUGUUAGUGAUUGAAUUGUUGGGGUCGCUGGAAACGGGGUGGCUCGAAGCAAAUCAGUUACUUAUUCAGUAUCUUUAACACUCAUGGAAACGUUAUAUGCCCAUCCUAAAUUCCUAAUUACUCCCUCCGUCCCAAAAUAAUUGUCCCAACCUUAGUAUAAAUUUGUACUAAAGUUAGUACAAAGUUGAGACACUUAUUUUGAGAUGGAGGGAGUAUUAUUGUAUCAUAUAACUGAAAGUGCAUUAGACCAGUGGUGUUAUGAGAAAUAAACAAUUUUUGUCCCAUAGCUGAACUGUUUCUUUUCUCAGUGUUUAUAUAUGUCAGAGAUGUGUAUGAUUUAGAUAAUUCUCUUCAUUUGUUAACUUUACCGCUUUAUUUUUGACAUGCUUCAUUAUGUUAAUCAAAGGCACACAUCUGACCUCCGGGAAACGAGCAAGCACAUCAAGCCACUACCAGAUUUCCACCCUUCCCUAUACACGUUGGCCCAUCUAUGAGGUACCAACCAGCUCCAUGGCCAAAAUCAAAACCCAUCGCAAAGACCUCAUGCUGAAGGUUUGUAACAUCCCAAAAUUCUAAAUUUUGGAAUGUUAUAAACAAAUAGAUAGAUUUGAUUGGUUGCUUGAUUGAUUGACUGAAAGUGAGUGAAUUCGAAACUUUUUGAAAGUUAAAUGAGAGGGAAUAAAAGGACUUUCCCAAACUUUCAUUUUUGCAUUUUAUGCUCUUCGUGAAUUCAAAUUCUUUUCAACACAAAAACCUUGGAGAGAAGAUGACAUGACUUCUUCCAUUUAUUUAAAUGACAAGGGGUGUUGAGAAUAUUUGAAUUUCAUUUGGAAAUAUUCCAAUUCUGAAACUUUAUGCGACUCAAUGAUUUUCACGAGAGAAGAUAAAAUGACUUCUUCAAAUUAUAUGAAAUAUGAGUUGGGAGUUUCAAAGAAUUAAAUUCAAAGCCCCUUUGAAUUUAUUUUCAAUUUGAAAUAGAUCAUCAUGCAUAUUUUAUUUUCUUGCAUUUUGGUCGAUCCUAGAAAUUUCACGCAACUCAAGGACCCUUGGAGAGAGUUGGAGAUUUCGUUAUUUUCAUAUUGAGAGUUUUCUCGAAUUGAAAAGAGGGUCAUUUGAUUUAUUUAUUUUAUCUUCAAUAAUUUUUCCGUUAUCAAAAAAAAUAUAAGAGAGGGAAUAAUAUGACUUUCCCAAAGUUAGGAAAAAAAUGAAGAUCUAAUAGAUAAAUCAAUUUUGUUUGCCGGAGUUUUAUUCGCAUUUUAUUUGGAUAGGGAAAAAAAUGCGUGUUUUCAAAAAUUGUUUUUUAGGUCCGGAGAAAAGUUCAUUUUGUUCGGCUCAUUUUUAGGAGUCGGGGAAAAUUUACUUUAUUAAUUUUGAAGUUCGUUUACAUUUUCUUUUAUUUAUUUUUUUGCGCGCGAGACCGUUUAAAAAAAAAAGAAAAAAAAUCCACAGCGCCUUGGGCCAAAGGCCCAAGCCACUAGCCGCCGGCCGGCCAAGAGGCCAUAGCGCGCGUGCACCAGGGAGCCGCCGCUUCUUUCUUUCCUAGUCCUAGUAGGACUCUUGUCCUAUGUUCGUUUAUUCCGUAUCUAAUUCUAGAUCUUUUCCUCUUGUUUCCUAAUCCUAAUCUAUUUCUUGUCCCCUACCCCAAGCAAAACCCUCCCCUCCCCAAUAUAAAUACCCAAGCACCCCCCCUCUAAACACAUCAAACCUCUCCUCUCCUCUCCUCUCCUCUCCGCCGCCCCAAGCCGCGCCUCACCNNNNNNNNNNNNGCCGCGCCCAACACCGCCCAACCCCGCGCCCUAGUGCCGCCGCCGCCGCCCUGCGUCAACGCCGCCGUCGCCGCCGUUCGCCGGAGGUACCGCGCCGCGUCUCUUCUUUCCCUCGGUUCAGUUUUUCUUAUAAACCGUUCCGAUUCUUUUCUUCUCUACCGAUUCGUUUUCUUUCCGAUUUUUCGCUAAACCGUUCCGGUGUUCUAGAUCGGUUUUUCGUUUCGAUCUCUUUUCCGAAAACCCUAGAUUGGUUUUCGUUCUUCUUUCGGACCGUUCGUCUCAACGAACGUGAUCACCGAUUAUUUCCCGGUUAACGACGUCUGUUCGUAUAACCGUUCUUCUUUUUCUUCUCGUCGGAUUUAUUCCGCGAUCGCGAUCUCAGAUCCGAUCUUCGUUCUAGUUUAUCUUCUCGCUCGUUUAUCGGAAUCAGGUGAUUCAAGCGCCUGGAGUUUCAUCUCGAAACCGCCGUUUCGUCUAAUCAACUUGAACAAGCUUAUGCUACAGUAAAAAUUUGACCUAGUUUCAACUUGCUAGAACCGAGUUGUUUUCUUUCGCCGUUUGUUUUUUGUAGUUUGUUCGGUUCGUUCUUUCUUUGCAACCGGAGUUCUUAAGUUGAACUUUCUGGUUCGUUCUCUUGUUCGAUUUUUUUCCUGUGCAUUAGAUGAGUACUUAUUGUGUGGUUACUAUUGUUUGCUUACGAUAGAUUGACCGGAGUGUGACGAUUAGAUCUAUCACGAGUUUUGAGUGCGAAUCAUCUUCAUCAACAUUGCAGGCAAGUAAUACUUGAUCAUAUCUUUCCUACUACCCAGUUUUAUUGCAUUAGAUCCAACCCUCAAACACUUGCAUUGUUUAGGAUCUAAAUUAAAUUGUGGGAUUGGGAAGUAGAUGAGGUAGUACCUAUUACCUGUAGUAUUAUGAAACCUUUGGGAGUUACUCUACGUUUGCUUAUAUUGCCAUGCUAUGCUAGUAGACGUGGAUUGGGUGAGUGAUAUCCAUGACAGAUGUGAGAUUGAUAAUUUUAAUGGUUUAUCUAAGGUGGCAACUUAAACACACAUCUGGGUGGAUUGAGGCACCUGAUGUCUAUCAGGACUUGCCUGUUUUUUUUUCGGACCGCCACCCAGGCUCAAAGGGAUCAUAAGAUAAUUCAUACUAGUAACUUACGUGUGCAGCCACAAGCCAUUAUGGGCUCUGGCAUAGUUGACUAAGUUGUGCGAACUCUUAUAGUGGUGGACUAGCAGAUGUAGGGGAUGUAGGUGUACCGGUCCACCCAUCGUAAGGUGCUAGCGCUUCUGAAAGACUAUGUCUCGGUCAUCCGUUUCUUAAACACCAUGAAGUGCGAGAAAACAAGCGGAGGCGAUCGAGUCUUGUGGGGAAAAGUGCGCAACCUCUGCAGAGUAACAAACUAAUCAUGAUUAGCCGUGUCCCCGGUUAUGGACAACUUGAGUAUCUAGUACUUGAAUAUCAUUGUGAAUCUCAACAUGUUACUUCUAAUAAAAGCUAUUGGGUUUUAAUGAUUACUUUUAAUUGGGAUUGAGGAUGCUGUCAACCAUUCUCAAUGUUUCACAACCACCAUGAUAGUUAAACAAAAUUAUUCCUUUGAUGUAGGGAAAAAUUGGCUUUUCGCAAAAACUGUAACCAUAGAGCCUUACCACCAGUCAUAUAUGCAUGUAGUAUAGCCUAUUCUUUCAUUACUCUCUAUGUGUUACAUUGCCAGCAUAUUCCAUGUGCUGACCCGUUUUCGGGCUGCAACUUUUCAUGUUGCAGACUUUUCAGACGACGAGUAAGUGGUACGUUAGGGUUACGAUUUCCUAUACUCAACUUUGCCGUUGGUGUUGAUGGGAAUCCACAACCUUGUUGCUUCCGCUAUAUUUUGGAUUGAGGUAAUAGUUUUACGUUACUAUAUACAUGUGAUUUACCUCUGUUAUAAAUCCUUCGAGUACUGUGUGUGUCAGCAUACUGAUCCAGGGAUGACACAUAAGCACAGAGACUUGAUCCAUUCGGGUCGGGUCGCUACAAGAUGGUAUCAGAGCACAUGUUGACUGUAGGACGUGACCCUAGAAAAUGACAAGCCCAUAGGAAAGAUUUUUCUCUACAACUUUCCCUUUCAAAAGAUCUUUUACCUCUCUUCUCUUCUGAGUUUAUUCAAAUAUUCCCUUUUUAGUGAGACCAUACCCCUUUUCCCUUUUGACCACUCGAAGAUUUGACUGAUGAGACCACUCCAAGGAGACAAGAUAUCGGACAACCAAGACCAUUUGGAAUGAAGAGGAUUUUACCGUGUAAAUGGAAACUACAACUGUUGAAGACUCCGAAGACUUGGAGAAUUUGAAGGCUCUGAAGAAUUCCCAAAUUUGUAUGACCCAGGAAGGCUACCUUUAUGGAACCUGGCAGACUAUGGAAGUUAUCAAUACCGAGAUCAAGGUGUAUCGGAGAAAGACCGGAGCAUGGAGAGUUAGUAACUCAAAGUUUUGUCAAGAAAACUCUAAGACAGGAGAUAUCAAUCAUGAAAUGAAAGCUCAUGGCAGUAACAUGGGCAUAGACAUGGCUAACGAUGGUGUUAUUGCCCGCCUAUGCUAUUGUCACCGUGCGGAGUUAAGCAUGCAGAUGCAUGGAAGGAUUGGAUGGUAGAAAGCUGAUGGAGCAUCUAUCUGCAAACGUUGGAGUGUUAACCUUAGCUGGUGUAUACACCAGGAUCUGGAGUGUUACAUCAGGAAGUUAAGAUGGACCUACAAGAAGCAAUAUUUGACAAUAAGGCAAUUGGUGAAGAACUCAGGACCCAGAAGCUGAAAGUAGACAAGAUGAAGGAGCAAAACAUCGAGAUACCGGAGAUUUGACAAUAACUGAAGGACAGUAGGAUCAUGGAUCAUGUCAAGGAUGUUGAAACCGGCAGUUGGAACGUAACUCCAGAAAUAUUGAAGGACGUCGCGAGAGACUUCGCGUCAACAGAGAUGAUCUGGCAAAAGAACUUGAGCACGACAAGCACGAUUGAAAGAAGCCAUCGGAGACAUGAACAUGACUUGAAGAGUUUGGAGACGUUGAAGAUUCAUUGACCUUUAGAAGACCAAACCCCUAUUAUAUACCUACGUUAGAUGCGACGUUUGUGAGCUGUCAUUUGUAUGAUGUUUUUUUCGACAGCCACAAUAAAAUCUGUCUUUUCAAAACUUUUUUUUGUAUUGAGUGCAUCCCUCUCGAUCUCUCUUAUUCCACCCCAAAUCCAUGGACCCAAUAGAGGAUGAAUGGAGAUGAACUUGUACUCUCUGGACCGAUGAGUCAAUUGGAGAUGGACCGAUGGAUUCAGAACAUGAGGAUCACAUGGAGAAUAACCCUAUAGCCGGAAAGGAUAUGACCCAGCACGCUCUUCCAUUCUUUGAAAGAAGUGUUGCUACCUGGUGGAGGAUGUACCAAACCCUCAACGGAUGACAAGGAGUAACUACUUGGGAAGAAUUUAAGUUGACUUUGCUAAAGUCUCAGUUUGUGACCCAGAAGUUGAAGCCUUAUGGAAAAGAUAUGAAGAAACCUUGUGCGUACAAGCUCUGUGGAGAAAUAGGACACAACCAUAAAGAAAAGAAGGACGAAUACCCUCAUAAGUAGAGGAUUAUCAAAGGAGUUAGCCGAGGAUUUUCAGGGAACUUCGAUUGGAGAUUGUUCCCAAAGGUUUUGUUGCAGCAAUGGAAGUUCAGUUUACAUUGUUGGAAAAGAUCCGUGAAGCUCAGAAGGAUGACAAAGAGAUUGCUGAGGUAAAAGAGAGGAUGAACAAAGGAAAGGCCAAAGGUUUUCAUAAGGAUGAACACGACACCUUAUGGUUUGAGAAUAGUGUAUAUGUGCCAAUAAUGCAAAGAUCAGGAAGUUAAUACUUCAGGAGGCUCAUGACUCACCAUACUUGAUUCGCCCUGGAAACACCAAGAUGUAUUUGGAUUUGAAGGAGUGUUUCUGGUGGACUGGUAUGAAGGAGGAUAUUACGGAGUAUGUAGUCGUAAGUGAUGUAUGUCAGAGAAAGUAAAAGCAGAGCAUCAGAAGUCAGCAGGAUUAUUGCAGCCUAUGCUAAUACCUGAAUGGAAGCAGGAUAAGCUUGGCAUGGAUUUCAUUACCAGAUUUCCCAGAACCCGAACGGGAUAUGAUUCUAUCUGGGUAAUAGUUUAUUCGCUUGAUCAAAGUGGCUCGCUUUAUCCCAGAGAGAACCACCUAUACAAGUGCGAAGUUGGCCAAGAUAUAUAUUUGAGAAAGGAUCGUAUGUCUGCAUGGAGUUCCGAGGACCAUCGUAGAGGAACGCAGUUUUCCUCAAAGUUUUGGAAUCAGCUGCACCAGACUUUGGGUACUAGGCUAGAGUUCGGUACAGCCUUUCAUCCGCAGACAGAUGGAUAAAUCAAGAGAGUCAAUCAGAUUUUGGAGGACAUGUUGAGAGCGUGUGCGCUAGAUUAUGGAUCUAGUAGUGAUGAUAAUUUACCUCACGCGGAGUUUCUCAUUCAAGAAUAGCUACCAAGUCAGUUGGAAGAUGGCCCCUUUUUGAAGCUUUGUAUGGGAGAAAGAGCCAGACACCGUUGAUGUGGGAUGAAGUUGGAGACCGUCAGUUGUUUGGACCAAAUGUGAUCAAGGAGUCAGAAGAGAAUGUUAAGUUGAUUCGAGAUAGACUGAAGGUAGCUCAGUCCAGGUAGAAGAGUUAUGCAGACUUAAAAACGCAAGGAGGUAGUCUAUGAAAUUGGAGAUAGAGCAUGUCUUCGUGUGACCCCUCUGCGAGGAGUUAAACAAUUUGGAGUUAAGGGACAGUUAGCCCCGAGAUUUGUAGGACCAUACCGAGUUUUGGAGCGUAUGAGAGAAGUGGCCUACAAGUUUGAGUUACCCGAAGGACUGUCAGGAGUUCAAGAUGUGUUUUACGUUUCCCAGUUGAAGAAGUGCCAUGCAGAGAUGGCCAAUAUUCCCCUGUAAGGACGCUUGACACUGGAAAGGAUAAUGAUGUUCCACGAAGUGGAGUAUGGAUUUCAUAAGUAUAAGUUUUAUCACGGUAUGUGGGACAUCCCACGAGGAUGAAGAGAUGAAGUGUUAUUGGAUAUAAAGGAGGUAUGAUGUUGGAAAUAUGGAUCAAUGGAAAUUCCAUGAAGAGUCUGAGUAAUCAUGUCCUAGUUUGGUGCCAAUAGAAGGAAGGAAGACAGUACAAUUGGAUGGAUUUAAGAAUACUAGGAAGUUGGAAGUUGGAAUAAUGAACAGUUGCCCGAUGAUGAGUUCAAGAUUUGCAAGUGAUGAGAUGGGCCAUAACCCACAGGCCCCAGGACCUGCCAAGAAGCAAGCACACUCUUGCUGAAGGAAAAACCCUGGAAGAAGUUACGACUUGUAUCAACCGACGAUUCUAUAGGAGUUUACGCAAAACCUGAGAGUUGUUAAGUAACGAUAGAUGUUUGUUUGGCUUGCAGAAUCUAUGGAUUUUCCAAACUUGGUUCGUCGACAAGAAGAAUUCUGCAAUGCUUGUGAGGAUGACCGAGUGUUAGAAUGCGAGAUUCGCUAAACCAUGUACAAGGAAAUGAUUUGGGUGCGGGAUGGAUUGAUCACCAUACCGACUUACUCUUAUUAUUCGCUUUGCUAUAUGGGAUGGUAAAUCUGAGUGACUUACCUAUAGUGGAGAGACGACGAUCAAAACCUUGUUUGAACCUUAGAAAGGUAUAGGUAUUUUUUUCCCUUGUACACGGCAGUUGUUGCCAACCGUAGGUUAUACGGUGAGGAUCACACAGACCCUUUCCUGCAGGAGAAACCAUAAAUUGUUGACCACCACGAGAUAUCGAUAGUUGUUUAGCAUUGGCGUCAGACCCGUCAGCUAUGAAGACCCAGUUUCGGGAUAACCUUACCAAGAUGAAAGGACAAAGGAAUUGAGGAAAAGGUUAUGCCACUACCGGAAGAGCCCAGAGAAGGGAUUAUCCUUAAUAUCUGAGAAGACUGACACUGUCAACGAUAAGGAUGGAGUAUAUGAGUUUUGAUGGAACCGUAACAAUGUUUCUAAGGGUGGUAGCACCCGAGACCUCGGAGAUGAUCGAUGGACUUUGAGAAGACCCCAAACCCUAACCUAUUCUUUCUAGCCUCUCCGAAUCUCGAGGACGAGAUUCAUUUUAAGGGUGGUAGUUUGUAACAUCCCAAAAUUCUAAAUUUUGGAAUGUUAUAAACAAAUAGAUAGAUUUGAUUGGUUGCUUGAUUGAUUGACUGAAAGUGAGUGAAUUCGAAACUUUUUGAAAGUUAAAUGAGAGGGAAUAAAAGGACUUUCCCAAACUUUCAUUUUUGCAUUUUAUGCUCUUCGUGAAUUCAAAUUCUUUUCAACACAAAAACCUUGGAGAGAAGAUGACAUGACUUCUUCCAUUUAUUUAAAUGACAAGGGGUGUUGAGAAUAUUUGAAUUUCAUUUGGAAAUAUUCCAAUUCUGAAACUUUAUGCGACUCAAUGAUUUUCACGAGAGAAGAUAAAAUGACUUCUUCAAAUUAUAUGAAAUAUGAGUUGGGAGUUUCAAAGAAUUAAAUUCAAAGCCCCUUUGAAUUUAUUUUCAAUUUGAAAUAGAUCAUCAUGCAUAUUUUAUUUUCUUGCAUUUUGGUCGAUCCUAGAAAUUUCACGCAACUCAAGGACCCUUGGAGAGAGUUGGAGAUUUCGUUAUUUUCAUAUUGAGAGUUUUCUCGAAUUGAAAAGAGGGUCAUUUGAUUUAUUUAUUUUAUCUUCAAUAAUUUUUCCGUUAUCAAAAAAAAUAUAAGAGAGGGAAUAAUAUGACUUUCCCAAAGUUAGGAAAAAAAUGAAGAUCUAAUAGAUAAAUCAAUUUUGUUUGCCGGAGUUUUAUUCGCAUUUUAUUUGGAUAGGGAAAAAAAUGCGUGUUUUCAAAAAUUGUUUUUUAGGUCCGGAGAAAAGUUCAUUUUGUUCGGCUCAUUUUUAGGAGUCGGGGAAAAUUUACUUUAUUAAUUUUGAAGUUCGUUUACAUUUUCUUUUAUUUAUUUUUUUGCGCGCGAGACCGUUUAAAAAAAAAAGAAAAAAAAUCCACAGCGCCUUGGGCCAAAGGCCCAAGCCACUAGCCGCCGGCCGGCCAAGAGGCCAUAGCGCGCGUGCACCAGGGAGCCGCCGCUUCUUUCUUUCCUAGUCCUAGUAGGACUCUUGUCCUAUGUUCGUUUAUUCCGUAUCUAAUUCUAGAUCUUUUCCUCUUGUUUCCUAAUCCUAAUCUAUUUCUUGUCCCCUACCCCAAGCAAAACCCUCCCCUCCCCAAUAUAAAUACCCAAGCACCCCCCCUCUAAACACAUCAAACCUCUCCUCUCCUCUCCUCUCCUCUCCGCCGCCCCAAGCCGCGCCUCACCNNNNNNNNNNACUUGAUCAUAUCUUUCCUACUACCCAGUUUUAUUGCAUUAGAUCCAACCCUCAAACACUUGCAUUGUUUAGGAUCUAAAUUAAAUUGUGGGAUUGGGAAGUAGAUGAGGUAGUACCUAUUACCUGUAGUAUUAUGAAACCUUUGGGAGUUACUCUACGUUUGCUUAUAUUGCCAUGCUAUGCUAGUAGACGUGGAUUGGGUGAGUGAUAUCCAUGACAGAUGUGAGAUUGAUAAUUUUAAUGGUUUAUCUAAGGUGGCAACUUAAACACACAUCUGGGUGGAUUGAGGCACCUGAUGUCUAUCAGGACUUGCCUGUUUUUUUUUCGGACCGCCACCCAGGCUCAAAGGGAUCAUAAGAUAAUUCAUACUAGUAACUUACGUGUGCAGCCACAAGCCAUUAUGGGCUCUGGCAUAGUUGACUAAGUUGUGCGAACUCUUAUAGUGGUGGACUAGCAGAUGUAGGGGAUGUAGGUGUACCGGUCCACCCAUCGUAAGGUGCUAGCGCUUCUGAAAGACUAUGUCUCGGUCAUCCGUUUCUUAAACACCAUGAAGUGCGAGAAAACAAGCGGAGGCGAUCGAGUCUUGUGGGGAAAAGUGCGCAACCUCUGCAGAGUAACAAACUAAUCAUGAUUAGCCGUGUCCCCGGUUAUGGACAACUUGAGUAUCUAGUACUUGAAUAUCAUUGUGAAUCUCAACAUGUUACUUCUAAUAAAAGCUAUUGGGUUUUAAUGAUUACUUUUAAUUGGGAUUGAGGAUGCUGUCAACCAUUCUCAAUGUUUCACAACCACCAUGAUAGUUAAACAAAAUUAUUCCUUUGAUGUAGGGAAAAAUUGGCUUUUCGCAAAAACUGUAACCAUAGAGCCUUACCACCAGCCAUAUAUGCAUGUAGUAUAGCCUAUUCUUUCAUUACUCUCUAUGUGUUACAUUGCCAGCAUAUUCCAUGUGCUGACCCGUUUUCGGGCUGCAACUUUUCAUGUUGCAGACUUUUCAGACGACGAGUAAGUGGUACGUUAGGGUUACGAUUUCCUAUACUCAACUUUGUCGUUGGUGUUGAUGGGAAUCCACAACCUUGUUGCUUCCGCUAUAUUUUGGAUUGAGGUAAUAGUUUUACGUUACUAUAUACAUGUGAUUUACCUCUGUUAUAAAUCCUUCGAGUACUGUGUGUGUCAGCAUACUGAUCCAGGGAUGACACAUAAGCACAGAGACUUGAUCCAUUCGGGUCGGGUCGCUACAAGGUUACCAAACAAAGUGUCAUGUUUCUCUAUGAACACGUGAUAAGAUGAUAUGAGCCCCUUUGUGGCUUUGUCUGCAGAUUCAGCUGCAGUACACCUGAUGGUGCAGCAGUCAUUUGUUCCUUGUCUAGAAUGGCAUGUUCCUCUGGUUGCUUAUGAUAAAAAAGGUAGGGCUGAGUUUGAGACAAAUUAUUUCUGAUAAGAAGAUGUUGUCUUUCAAUUGUAUAUUCGUUGUUCUCUUGAUUUCAUUUGUUUCUUAUGCAAGGGUUCUCUCAAAAAUUAUUUUUGUAGGCAAGACAAAACUAAAAAGGUGAUCUGGCAUAAGUGGAAGGAGGGAAGCUGCCGUAAGAUCUGACAAUAACUUGCCUCCGCUCUAACAAGAGCAUGUUCGUUCAGACCUUACUAAAAGUUAUUUAUAUAUAGUAGGUGUUUCCAUUGUAACUAUCAAAUUCAAACUCCUAGAUGUCUAUGUCAGGAUGUAGGACGUAGUCCAGGCAGGGAUAUCCCCGUUGAUCUUUUCGUGGAUCCUUUCACACUUCAUUCUGCAAAGUGCUGGUGAUUUAAAUAGAAUCUCUCUGUUCAAAACACAAUAUAAUUCAAGCUACUAGAAGAGCUUGUUCAUUCAGACCUUUCCUUACAUUUUAACUAUGACAGUGAUCUCUUUUAUUUGUGUAUGUAACGAUCAUAUGCAUAAAUAGUUGAAAAUGGUGUCUGAAUGGCACAUCUUUAGCUAAUUUUUACC